GACGAACGCUGGCGGCGUGCUUAACACAUGCAAGUCGAACGGAAAGGCCCCCAUCUUGGUGGUGGUGCUCGAGUGGCGAACGGGUGAGUAACACGUGGGUGAUCUGUCCUGUACUUCGGGAGAUGCUUGGGAAACUGGGUCUCAUACCGGAUAGGACCAUGGUUUAGUGUCUCAUGGUGGAAAGAUUAUUGUUUUGGUUCAGGAUGAGCUCGCGGCCUAUCAGCUGGUUGGUGGGGUAAUGGCCUCCCAAGGCGCCGACGGGUAGCCGGCCUGGGGGUGUGUACCGCCACAUUGGACCUGGGAUACGGCCAGGAUCCCUACGGGAGGAAGCAGGGGGGAAUAUUGCACAAGGGGGGGAAGCCUAAUGCAGCGAGGCGGCGUGAGGGAUGACGGCCUUCGGGUUGUAAACUCCUUUCGUUAGGGAAGAAGCCGCGUUAUUUGUGAGUGGUGACGGUAACUUUAUGAAGAAGCACCGGCUAACUACGUG
Molecule: ribosomal RNA, 487 nt
Filed under: uncultured bacterium
Lineage: Bacteria
Description: partial 16S ribosomal RNA
Rfam family: Bacterial small subunit ribosomal RNA
Source: RNAcentral